CAGCAGCCGCGGUAACACGGAGGGGGCUAGCGUUGUUCGGAAUUACUGGGCGUAAAGCGUACGUAGGCGGCUUUGUAAGUUAGAGGUGAAAGCCUGGUGCUCAACACCAGAACUGCCUUUAAGACUGCAUCGCUUGAACGUCGGAGAGGUGAGUGGAAUUCCGAGUGUAGAGGUGAAAUUCGUAGAUAUUCGGAAGAACACCAGUGGCGAAGGCGGCUCACUGGACGACUGUUGACGCUGAGGUACGAAAGCGUGGGGAGCAAACAGGAUUAGAUACCCUGGUAGUCCCUGUCUCUUAUAC
RNAcentral lists this ribosomal RNA (301 nucleotides) under uncultured bacterium. Its description in RNAcentral is "partial 16S ribosomal RNA". It matches the Rfam family "Bacterial small subunit ribosomal RNA", at positions 509 to 807 of the family's 1533-position model. The record is from RNAcentral.